Molecule: ribosomal RNA, 496 nt
Filed under: uncultured bacterium
Lineage: Bacteria
Description: partial 16S ribosomal RNA
Rfam family: Bacterial small subunit ribosomal RNA
Source: RNAcentral
AUGAACGCUGGCGGCGUGCCUCAUACAUGCAAGUCGAGCGAACGGACGAGAAGCUUGCUUCUCUGAUGUUAGCGGCGGACGGGUGAGUAACACGUGGAUAACCUACCUAUAAGACUGGGAUAACUUCGGGAAACCGUAGCUAAUACCGGAUAAUAUUUUGAACCGCAUGGUUCAAAAGUGAAAGACGGUCUUGCUGUCACUUAUAGAUGGAUCCGCGCUGCAUUAGCUAGUUGGUAAGGUAACGGCUUACCAAGGCAACGAUGCAUAGCCGACCUGAGAGGGUGAUCGGCCACACUGGAACUGAGACACGGUCCAGACUCCUACGGGAGGCAGCAGUAGGGAAUCUUCCGCAAUGGGCGAAAGCCUGACGGAGCAACGCCGCGUGAGUGAUGAAGGUCUUCGGAUCGUAAAACUCUGUUAUUAGGGAAGAACAUAUGUGUAAGUAACUGUGCACAUCUUGACGUUACCUAAUCAGAAAGCCACGGCUAACUACGUG